RNAcentral lists this ribosomal RNA (436 nucleotides) under uncultured Oscillibacter sp. RNAcentral's name for it is "partial 16S ribosomal RNA". It matches the Rfam family "Bacterial small subunit ribosomal RNA", at positions 341 to 792 of the family's 1533-position model. Lineage: Bacteria; Bacillati; Bacillota; Clostridia; Eubacteriales; Oscillospiraceae. The record is from RNAcentral.
ACGGAAGGCAGCAGUGGGGAAUAUUGGGCAAUGGGCGCAAGCCUGACCCAGCAACGCCGCGUGAAGGAAGAAGGCUUUCGGGUUGUAAACUUCUUUUGACGGGGAGGAGAAGAAGACAGUACCUGUCGAAUAAGCCACGGCUAACUACGUGCCAGCAGCCGCGGUAAUACGUAGGUGGCAAGCGUUGUCCGGAUUAACUGGGUGUAAAGGGCGUGUAGCCGGGUCGGCAAGUCAGAUGUGAAAUGCACAGGCUCAACCUGUGAACUGCAUUUGAAACUGCUGGUCUUGAGUAUCGGAGAGGCAAUCGGAAUUCCUAGUGUAGCGGUGAAAUGCGUAGAUAUUAGGAGGAACACCAGUGGCGAAGGCGGAUUGCUGGACGACAACUGACGGUGAGGCGCGAAAGCGUGGGGAGCAAACAGGAUUAGAUACCCUGGUA